UCUUGACAUCCUCUGACAACCCUAGAGAUAGGGCUUUUCCUUCGGGGACAGAGUGACAGGUGGUGCAUGGUUGUCGUCAGCUCGUGUCGUGAGAUGUUGGGUUAAGUCCCGCAACGAGCGCAACCCUUGAUCUUAGUUGCGAGCAUUCAGUUGGGCACUCUAAGGUGACUGCCGGUG
This 177-nucleotide ribosomal RNA is filed under the name Bacillus cereus. Its description in RNAcentral is "partial 16S ribosomal RNA". It matches the Rfam family "Bacterial small subunit ribosomal RNA", at positions 980 to 1157 of the family's 1533-position model. The record is from RNAcentral. Lineage: Bacteria; Bacillati; Bacillota; Bacilli; Caryophanales; Bacillaceae.